GCUCCCUUAGCUUAAUUGGAUAAAGCAAUUACCUUCUAAGUAAUAGAGUGUAGGUUCGAAUCCUAUAGGGUGCA
Molecule: transfer RNA, 74 nt
Filed under: Niabella sp.
Lineage: Bacteria; Pseudomonadati; Bacteroidota; Chitinophagia; Chitinophagales; Chitinophagaceae
Also listed under: 2 other names
Description: tRNA-Arg
Rfam family: tRNA
About the family: Transfer RNA (tRNA) molecules are approximately 80 nucleotides in length. Their secondary structure includes four short double-helical elements and three loops (D, anti-codon, and T loops). Further hydrogen bonds mediate the characteristic L-shaped molecular structure. tRNAs have two regions of fundamental functional importance: the anti-codon, which is responsible for specific mRNA codon recognition, and the 3' end, to which the tRNAs corresponding amino acid is attached (by aminoacyl-tRNA synthetases). tRNAs cope with the degeneracy of the genetic code in two manners: having more than one tRNA (with a specific anti-codon) for a particular amino acid; and 'wobble' base-pairing, i.e. permitting non-standard base-pairing at the 3rd anti-codon position.
Source: RNAcentral